This 254-nucleotide non-coding RNA is filed under the name Peptococcaceae bacterium. RNAcentral's name for it is "GlcN6P sequence". It matches the Rfam family "glmS glucosamine-6-phosphate activated ribozyme aptamer". From Rfam's summary of the family: This entry contains a glucosamine-6-phosphate activated ribozyme that is found in the mRNA for GlmS. The record is from RNAcentral. Lineage: Bacteria; Bacillati; Bacillota; Clostridia; Eubacteriales; Peptococcaceae.
AACUGAAUUGAAGCGCCAGAACCCAGAUGAGAAGUGAGAUGUGAGAAGUUGGAAGUGAGAUUGUGAAGGGAAUUUGCUGCUGCAAAUUCCUACAAGAUGCCCACCUUUCACCUCCCACCUCCCACUUCUCAGUUGCGGUUGACGAGGGGGGAGUUUAUCGAUUUUUCGGCGGGUGCUCCCCGGUGGGCCACCACCGUUAAGGACAGAACAAAACCGGCGGGUAACCGCCGGGACAAAUGUGUCCCGGGUGGCAA